UACGGGGGGGGCAAGCGUUGUUCGGAAUUACUGGGCGUAAAGGGCUCGUAGGUGGCCAACUAAGUCAGACGUGAAAUCCCCAGGCUUAACCUGGGAACUGCGUCUGAUACUGGAUGGCUUGAAUUCGGGAGAGGGAUGCAGAAUUCCAGGUGUAGCGGUGAAAUGCGUAGAUAUCUGGAGGAAUACCGGUGGCGAAGGCGGCAUCCUGGACCGAGAUUGACACUGAUGAGCGAAAGCGUGGGGAGCGAACAGG
Molecule: ribosomal RNA, 253 nt
Filed under: uncultured bacterium
Lineage: Bacteria
Description: partial 16S ribosomal RNA
Rfam family: Bacterial small subunit ribosomal RNA
Source: RNAcentral